UUGAGACAGUAAUGAACGGUGCGCAUUCAGUCAGUGUGAGGUAGUGCUCGAUUAAUUGGGUUGUAGCAACAGCAUCAGCAACGGGAACUAAUACUAAAACGCAUCGCUUAAAGUUAUUGUUUAACGGUAUAUGUUAAUUGGUGGUGGAAGUAAAGCAGUUAUCAGCUGAGUUGGUGUUGGUCGUUUGAGCAGUCUGGAGUUUGCGUUUUCUGUUGAUGGCAGCAGUCGUCGCAUGUCAGCAUUCCAUUCGCAUAUCAACAUUCCAUGAUUAAUUAAACGGAAAAUAUGAUUUGCGCUGCGUUUGCGGAUGAUUUCUGCUACUGUAUCGGUAUUGAGGUCGCGAUGGAUAUCUUCUUUCGUACCAAGGAGUGUUGGUUAUUGUUCUGGGUCCCAGAUUUUAAGCCGCAUGCCCAGAUUGACACGAUCACAGUUUUGUAUAUAAGUAUUUUAUUCAGCAAUGACAGUUUCGAGUAGUAGCCAAGUAGCCAAUAUAUUAUAGUUGUCGGAAUCUGUUUCUACCUCAAUUCUUUUCAAGAUGAUAGUCAUUCCAACGUAUCUGUCUUUGGAGGCUAUCGGGAUUUGUGAAUUGUUUAUUCUGAGAUUCUUAUGUCAAACUUUCUUGUUGAUUUAUGCCCCAAGCAUUAAACCAGUCUAAAGUUUUGUCCAAAAUCUGCUGUAAUUUGUUUGUUGCUGCUACUAAGGGCUUAUGGGUUGCCCAUAGAACGGUAUCAUCUGCGAAAGUUGCUAUAAUGCUGAAAUCUGCAGGCAUGGGAAUAUCAUCUGUGUACAAUACACAUAGUACAUAGCCCUAGGAUACUGACUUGAGAUACCCCGGCUUUCAUAAAUUAAAUAUUAGAGUAUUUGUCUGCAUAUUUUACAUAUGUUCGUUAAAUAUCUUUUCAUUAUCAGAUAGUAGUCCAGUCGAACGCACUGUUUAAUAUUAAUUAUUGUAUUUGUUACUCAUGUACCUGUUAAAGUGUUGAAUGUUUUCGACGAAGCCUUAAUUGGUAGGAAGGAAUUAA
Anastrepha ludens (Mexican fruit fly) is the source of this 1022-nucleotide long non-coding RNA. RefSeq lists it as uncharacterized. The transcript is spliced from 3 exons. NCBI's taxonomy places the organism in Eukaryota, Metazoa, Arthropoda, Insecta, Diptera, Tephritidae. The record is from RefSeq and is a predicted model, not a curated record.